GACGAACGCUGGCGGCGUGCUUAACACAUGCAAGUCGAACGGAAAGGCCCUGCUUUUGUGGGGUGCUCGAGUGGCGAACGGGUGAGUAACACGUGAGUAACCUGCCCUUGACUUUGGGAUAACUUCAGGAAACUGGGGCUAAUACCGGAUAGGAGCUCCUGCUGCAUGGUGGGGGUUGGAAAGUUUCGGCGGUUGGGGAUGGACUCGCGGCUUAUCAGCUUGUUGGUGGGGUAGUGGCUUACCAAGGCUUUGACGGGUAGCCGGCCUGAGAGGGUGACCGGCCACAUUGGGACUGAGAGACGGCCCAGACUCCUACGGGAGGCAGCAGGGGGGAAUACUGCACAAUGGGCGGAAGCCUGAUGCAGCAACGCCGCGUGCGGGAUGACGGCCUUCGGGUUGUAACCCGCUUUCGCCUGUGACGAAGCGUGAGUGACGGUAAUGGGUAAAGAAGCACCGGCUAACUACGUG
This 468-nucleotide ribosomal RNA is filed under the name uncultured bacterium. Its description in RNAcentral is "partial 16S ribosomal RNA". It matches the Rfam family "Bacterial small subunit ribosomal RNA", at positions 28 to 507 of the family's 1533-position model. The record is from RNAcentral.